This 461-nucleotide ribosomal RNA is filed under the name uncultured bacterium. Its description in RNAcentral is "bacterial SSU rRNA". It matches the Rfam family "Bacterial small subunit ribosomal RNA", at positions 29 to 477 of the family's 1533-position model. The record is from RNAcentral.
AACGAACGCUGGCGGCACGCCUCAUACAUGCAAGUCGAGCGCGAAACCACCUUCGGGUGAUGUAGAGCGGCGAACGGGUGAGUAACAGGUGGGUAAUCUGCCCUUUGGCGGGGGACAACAGCUGGAAACGGCUGCUAAUACCGCAUGUGGUUGUAUGUUUAUGACGUACAAAGAAAGGCGCCUCAAAGCGCCACCAAAGGAUGAGCCCGCCCCCCAUUAGCUAGUUGGUGAGAUAACAGCUCACCAAGGCAUCGAUGGGGUAGCCGAGCUGAGAGGUUGAUCGGCCACACUGGAACUGAGACACCGGUCCAGACACCUACGGGUGGCAGCAGUGGGAAUAUUGCGCAAUGGGGCGAAAGCCUGACGCAGCGAUGCCGCGUGAGUGACGAAGGUCUUAGGAUUGUAAAGCUCUUUUCUGAGGGAGAAUAGGUUCUGGAGGAAUGCCGGAAUUCGUGACGGUA